This 238-nucleotide ribosomal RNA is filed under the name uncultured Lactobacillus sp. Its description in RNAcentral is "partial 16S ribosomal RNA". It matches the Rfam family "Bacterial small subunit ribosomal RNA", at positions 125 to 356 of the family's 1533-position model. Lineage: Bacteria; Bacillati; Bacillota; Bacilli; Lactobacillales; Lactobacillaceae. The record is from RNAcentral.
CCGUAGCCCAAGAGAUCGGGAUAACACCUGGAAACAGAUGCUAAUACCGGAUAACAACAGAUGAUGCCUAUCAACUGUUUAAAAGAUGGUUCUGCUAUCACUCUUGGAUGGACCUGCGGUGCAUUAGCUAGUUGGUAGGGUAACGGCCUACCAAGGCGAUGAUGCAUAGCCGAGUUGAGAGACUGAUCGGCCACAUUGGGACUGAGACACGGCCCAAACUCCUACGGAGGCAGCAGNG